CCGUUGAUUUAUCGAAUUAGCCAACACACAGACGACACGUAGGGGGAUCAGGAUUAUUUAUCGUGCACCGAGGAAGAGGAUACCCUGGACCUUUCUCGUCCCUCUUCAAAACCUCUUCCCUUCUGCUUUCUCUCUCGAUCGAUUGCUCUCGCUCAGCCAUGGCGACUCUCAAGGUUCCGGCUACCGUUCCUUCUCCAUCGGAGGACGCCGAGCAGCUCCGCAAGGCCUUUGAAGGGAUCAUUCCCUGCUUGUUUUCCUUCUCCCUUCGUCUUCUCUCCGGAUCUUAAAGUUGGGGCACAAAUGAGGCGCUGAUCAUCUCCAUCCUCGGCCACCGCACCGCUGCCCGGCGCCGCGCCAUCCGCCAGGCUUACCACCAGACCUACAACGAGGACCUCCUCAAGUCCCUCGACGGAGAGAUCUCCGGCGACUUCGAGAGAGCUGUGCUGCUGUGGACCCUGGAUCCGGCGGAGAGGGAUGCGUGGCUGGCGAACGAGGCGGUGAGGAAGUGGCGCCCCGGGAACCGGGUGUUGAUCGAGAUAGCCUGUGCGAGGAGUUCCAGGGAGCUGUUUGCGGUGAGGCAGGCGUACCAUGCGCGGUUUAAGAGGUCUCUCGAGGAGGAUGUGGCGGCCCACACCACUGGGGAUUUCCGUAAGUCCAAGUGUUGAUUUGUUCUUGAAAGCACAAGAGGGAGAGUGGAAUGUCCAUAUUUAGCUGCCACUUCUUGCUUAUCAUUGGGAUUCCUUUUUAAGAACUUUCUGCUAAAAAGGUAGGUAACUAGACUUAUAUACUGAGGUGCUUCUUGGUCGCUUGCAUCGCUAAAUGUUGUCCUUGGACUAGGGUAGUUGUACUAUAGGUCAUGGGGAAUAGACUUCUGGUCUCCAGCGCCCCUCUUUUUUUCUGGCGUCUUGCUUUGAGACCUUCAGCUCAAUGCGAUUAAGUGGUAGAGUAAGGUGAUGGUUUUGUUAGUUGGUGUAGUGAAGGUGGUUAUACCAUCAUUACAUUGAAUACUGACCACCUGCAAUGGAAGAUGUUUCCAUCCAGAAGCUUAAGCAAAACAGGAUUAGCAGACUGUUUGCUGAAAGAUGUUCACUUUGUAAGCCGGUUACCAAAAGUUGUUCAGUUUCAGACCCUGUGUUAAUUGUCUGUUAAAGCAUAAGUAUUUUCCUGCGGCGCCCAAUCUCUCACACUUUUGAGAGGGGGUAAACUAUUGAUGUAGAAUUGAACAAAAGAAAAACAGAAUAAAGAGCAACUAUAGAAAGCAAUGAGAUCUUAUUUUGUGGGUUAUUCACUAGAGGUCAUUCAGUGUUUCAGCUUUUGGUGCCACUUGUAAGUGCAUACCGCUAUGAAAAUGCAGAGGUCAACUUGACUUUGGCAAAAUCAGAAGCCAAGAUGCUGCAUGAGAAGAUCUCUGGUAAGGCCUACAACCAUGAAGACCUUAUUAGGAUCCUUGCUACGAGGAGCAAGGCACAACUGGUUGCAACAUUUAAUUACUACAAUGAUGAGUUUGGUAAUUCAGUUAACAAGGUAAACACACUUCUUUUAGUUAAGCUUUUCCUUCAUUAACCAAUGUCGGUGCUUAAUUUCUCAUACGAGGAGUUUAUUAGUUGAUUCUUGAUAGCUGUACUGAUUAUGUUCAUUCUUAGUAUUUGUUGAUUCUCAGCCAUGAUAAGUGUGCUGUUUAUGUGUUAUUGUCAUAUGGUUUCCUUUUUCAAUUCCUCUUUUUUUUGUUGUCUGUUUCUAAAUUUCAUCUUGUAGUCCUUGCUUUUUCACCUUAAAAGAAAAUUGUGCAAAUUCUUGGUUCUUUUUUGCUCCAAUAGAUGUUUACACCUUUAUUCUUUAAAAUUUUCUUGUAUGUUUCAUUCUAUAUAAUUUUUCAUUCAUUCCUACAUGGUGCUAUAUGCUUUGCCAUUUGAAGCUUUUCCCUCCACCCAUCUUUAUGACAUUCACCAAGGCUAAUCAGAUACCCCUGUGCUCCAUGUCAAAGUUCGAUGAGGUAAUUUGAGGCACUAUUAUGCUCUUCCUGCUAAUAGCUAUCCGACCUUAUUUGGCUUGUUGAGCACUUUAACCUUAAUCUGUGUCACUCCUUAUCUGAUAAUAAUACUUCUUUGAAAUUGGCAAACACCUAUGUUUAGAUCCUUACAUCUAUAGUUAGUGGAUAAAAUCUUCUGCCUCAAUGUUGUAGACUCUUUGGAACCUUUUCUUCUUUUUUUUUUCAAAUUCUCCCAGUGCUCCACAUCCGCUUUCCUGCACCUGAAUCUGUUCACACCUGCUCUUGAUUCAGACAACAAAGCUUCUAUAAUGUGUCUGUGAUUGAAUUAUGAAUCUUUUGCUGCAUGCCAACUUUCUGGCAGCGACAGCAUUUCUCUACUCCAUCCAACCUGUUCAUGUUUUAUUAGUUACGUCAGAAUCAUUGUGGAAAGAAUUUUCCCCUAAUCACUAGUGGAAUUUCUCUCUAAAAACUAAAAAUUGGAUGGAAUCUAAACUGUUGUCUUGCUGCAUUUAACAUCCCAAAAGCUGCAUCCCAACUUCUAUUGUUGAGCUUCUUCCUAUCUGGGUUUUGGCUUGGUUUCACAGGAUUUAAAAUGUGAUCCCAAGGAUGAGUUCCUUGCUGCACUGAGGGCCGCCAUUCGUUGCAUUUGCUUCCCUGAAAGAUAUUUUGAGAAGGUCAUUCGGUCGGCGAUAAACGGGCUGAGAACGG
Molecule: non-coding RNA, 2698 nt
Organism: Phoenix dactylifera (date palm)
Lineage: Eukaryota; Viridiplantae; Streptophyta; Magnoliopsida; Arecales; Arecaceae
Source: RefSeq, a predicted model, not a curated record